Molecule: ribosomal RNA, 496 nt
Filed under: uncultured bacterium
Lineage: Bacteria
Description: partial 16S ribosomal RNA
Rfam family: Bacterial small subunit ribosomal RNA
Source: RNAcentral
GAUGAAUGCUGGCGGCGUGCCUAAUACAUGCAAGUCGAGCGAACGGACGAGAAGCUUGCUUCUCUGAUGUUAGCGGCGGACGGGUGAGUAACACGUGGAUAACCUACCUAUAAGACUGGGAUAACUUCGGGAAACCGGAGCUAAUACCGGAUAAUAUUUUGAACCGCAUGGUUCAAAAGUGAAAGACGGUCUUGCUGUCACUUAUAGAUGGAUCCGCGCUGCAUUAGCUAGUUGGUAAGGUAACGGCUUACCAAGGCAACGAUGCAUAGCCGACCUGAGAGAGUGAUCGGCCACACUGGAACUGAGACACGGUCCAACCUCCUACGGGAGGCAGCAGUGGGGAAUCUUCCGCAAUGGGCGAAAGCCUGACGGAGCAACGCCGCGUGAGUGAUGAAGGUCUUCGGAUCGUAAAACUCUGUUAUUAGGGAAGAACAUAUGUGUAAGUAACUGUGCACAUCUUGACGGUACCUAAUCAGAAAGCCACGGCUAACUACGU